AAGAACAAUGUCGGUGCACAGGUGAAAGUACAAUCUUACCCCUUUCAAACAAAGUACAAUGUUACCCCUUUCACUACAUCUCAAACAAAGCCUACCUGAUCUCCUGCCAACACAGCCGCUCCACUCCCUCACUCCCACAUCUCCGGCUCUUGGAUUCCCGACGACACCCACCAGCCGAACACCACCCCCCUGUCAGUUGCAGAGCCGACCGCCACCAUCGGGUGGUGGUGAGUGACGUUUGGACCCAGAAGUGAGAGAGAUCAGAGAGAAAGAGGAGAGCCGACGUUGUUCGAGCGGCGACAAGGCUGAGAAGAGAGAGAGAGAGGCAUAUGGACGAGAGAGAAAGAAGGGUGGCGGCAGCACCGCCGUAUACGUCGGUGGCCGGCGGCGGUUCGGAAUGAUUUUCUGGCGACCCGCCAGAGAAGAUGAUGGUGGCGGCGGUUUUGUUUCUCCUGACAGCUUCACGAUGAGAGGUUGAAAGGGACUGAUGGUGCGUUGAUUUGUGUGGUUGUUUCGAGCUCGGGUCAGGUUAAGGAUCAAGGUCAGCCGCGGUUCAGGAGUUUCGGUUCACCCAUGGGUUUGUUCGGGUCAGAUCUGGUCAAGCCUUGGAUGGUCAGCUUUGGAUCAAAGUCAGUGGGUUCGGGUCGGAUCUAGAGAUGUUUGGGUCAAGCUCUGAAUUUUUGGGUUUUGGUUGACUCGGUCAAACACUCAAGAGGACUAACCAGCUGGACCUCAGUCUGCAGCCAAUAUAUUCAUGCUACUAGAGGCUUCAUGAUUUGUCCUCGGCUCUCGAGCAACCACAACAGUAUUAAUUACAGUUAGUUGUACGUGAUGACGAUCAGAAGCGGAGCAUGAACGAAAACGCGGUGGGGGCCGGACUCUCAAAAUCCUAAAGACGGUAUGAAGGUUAUGGAUUCAUCGGAACGAAAAAGUCAUCAACAGAACAAAAACAUCGGUGUUCAAGGUAGUGGAGGACAUAAAAGAAAUAACGUUUUGGUGGGUGACGAAGUGGUCAAGGCUUCAAGGGAAUCACUUUGCAAAAGGGGUGUUCAUUUACUGGUGAAAUGCUCUAAAGGAACCACAAAACUCCACCAAAUCUUGCAAAGCUAGGAUGGGAUCGCAGGUGUCACUUCAAGGUAUUUUUUGGUUUAUUUCAUUCAAAGGUGAAUUCACACGUCACGCGUGGCGUGCCACACAUGAAUGUCAUCAUCGUCACGCGUGUGACUUGAUGUCGUCGCCGCAACGCGCGGCGCGGGUAAAAAACUAGUUGAAUAUGGAAUCAAAAGGUUAUGGUGUUUAAUGCUUCACCGGUUUGACUUCUCGGCAAUCAUUAUAGUCAGUUUACACACACAAAUGCCGUCUGAUCACAACCCAACCCUACUGCAUAUAAAUCCCAAAUCAAUCAGUCAAUUCUCCAAAUUAGGGCAUUCAAAUCUCAGAUUUAAAGGUUAAAAAACGGUUGAACAAGAUGUUGACGAAGCUUGAGACGAAGAGUGAUCGAGUGAAAGGUUUGAGUUUCGACAGCAAGAGGUUGUGGAUCUUGGCGAGUCUUCACAGUGGUGUGAUUCAGCUAUGGGAUUACCGGAUGGGGGUUUGAUGAACAUGAUCAUCCUGGUUCGUGGCGUGCCCUCAGACGCAACCGCUUUUUUGUUUCAGGAGGUUUGUUAUGUUAUGUUUGGAUUGUGUUCAGAUGUAUGGAAUGGUUGUGGAUUUUAGGGAUUUUUUUUACAGGUGACUAAAAGUCAUGACUUUUUAAAUCUAAAAAACAUUGGGUACUUGUGAAUGGGUUGUGUUUUAUCUCAAACUGGUCAAAUAAAAAUAAAGAUGGUAUAGUUUCAGUUUUAUAGUUUGAUUUUUUUAUUAUCAAAUUUGGCUGGGUUUAUAAUCUGUAUCGUUUUUGGCCCUGUCCAACCGACCCAUGUUCAAAGAAUUGUGUAAUAGAUGAGCAUACUGAAGAUGAAAUAUAACUUCUUAAUCAUGUCUCACACAUUAUUAAGUCACUAAAUAAAUCCAAAAGAUUUGUACAAACAGCGUAAUGGUUCGACCCGUCCGACCCAAGUUCAAAGAAUGGUGUAAAAGAUGGGGGAUAUAACUUUAUUAUUCGUGUCUCAUACACUAUAAAGUUGUAAAAAAUCAAGAACUUUUGGACAAACUAUGUUUUGGGUCGAAUCGACUCGGUCAUGUUCAGAGAAUGGUGUAAAAGAUGAGCAUAUUGAGGGUGGAAUAGUGGUCCUAUGAGAAGUUAUAAAAAGGAGGAUGUGGGUUUCAUGGACAUGCAAAGCUUUUAGCUGUAUAUAGCUUUUGUUUUUGUUAUAGAUUUACAGGAGCUGGAUUGUGACCAGACCAUAAGCUUCGAAGAGCAUGUGGGUUUGAUGGACUUAUGUCUUUAUUCCCUAUAACGGCACGUAUGAUGACCUGGUCGCUGAAGUUCAUAACAAGGUAUAAUAUUUUUUUUCCUAAGCUUUAUAUUUGCAUAAUAUAUUAAGGGUGUAGGUCUAAUCGGGUUGUUCAUGGGUCACGGGUCAGCUGUGGAUAGUUUGGAAUGGGUCAACAGUUAUUUAGUCACAGGUUCAUUGAAUGGUUGUUAUGGGAUUCCGUUACCACAGCUCAUUGAAUGAGGUUAUGAACCUCAAGUUUCGACAUUAUGAUCUAAUUAUAGAUUUCCGUUACCACAGCUCAUUGCAGUGGCGGAGUAUUAUGGGUGCCCGGGGGUGCACCCGCCCACCCCAAUGUUUCGGUUAGAAGUGUAUAAGUUCUGAUUUUUCGUCCGAAAAUUUUAAAAUUAUAUAGGAUCGCCCCCUCGAUUAUUUUUCCUAAAUUGUAUAUCCUAAAUAUUUAUAAACUUUGUAUAUAAAUGAUGGGUAGUUUGGUAAAUAUACACUUUGUUUUAUUUGGAACUAUUAUUAUUUAACCCGACUUGAAUCGAAUAGCCAACCCGACCCGACCCAAAACAUAACGAUAGGGAAAAAAAUUUUGGGUCCCAUCACUUUACGCCCCCUCGAAACUUUUGGUCAAGCUCCGCCACUGGCUCAUUGAAUGGUUGUUAUGGGGUUCCGCGGGUUCACUACAAGGGACGGCAAGGCGAUUUUUACAUUCUGGUGAGUUUCGACUCUUGACUUUGACAUCAUGAACCACUCAGUUUGUAGUUGAAUAAUUGGUAUUUAUAAUUAUUUAUGGUUUUAUAUGGUCAAAGUUUUCUGAAACCAACCGUCGGUUCAUGAGCAAACCGAAAAAAGAAAAGAAACCGAAACCGAAACCAAAACCAAAACCGAAAACCGAAAUACGGAAUCAAGUCUCACCUCUGCCUGAGCUCAUUGCGGAGCCCACGAGUGCCAGGUCAAUAUCGUUUGUCAGGACCCACGAGUAUUUAGCUCCGGAGAUGAUCAAAGGCGAAGGUCAUGGCAGCGCGGUUGACUGGUGGACGUUCGGGAUAUUUCUUUACGAGCUUUUGUUCGGGAAAACUCCGUUCAAGGGGAACGGUAACCGGGCCACUUUGUUUAACGUUGUCGGGCAACCGUUGAGAUUUCCCGAUCGCCUUCGGUUAGUUUUGCGGCGAGGGAUUUGAUCACGGGGUUACUUUUGAAAGAGCCGCAACAUCGACUGGCGUAUAAACGAGGGGCAACUAAGAUCAAACAGCACCCGUUUUUUCAGAGUGUGAACUGGGCGCUGAUCCGCUGCGCUACUCCGCCGGAUGUACCGAAACCGGCGUCGGAAAUGGUGGUGGUAGAUGUGAAACCUUCCGGUAACUACUUAGAGAUUGAUUUCUUUUAGUGUUGCCUGUCAAUGGAUUCUACUAAAUUUCAAAGGAACUUGAACCUGUGUUUUUCUUUUUUCUUAUGUUUAUGGUGGCUUCUAAUUGCCUUGUUUCAAUUAAUUUAUUACUGUUUAACAAAAUCCUAAUAAUGCCAAUAUUUUUCUUUUUAUAUUGUGUUAUUUUAUAUUUUUUUAGCUAUAAUACAACUAUAUAUAGUUAUAUACUUAUGAACCCAAACACUACUUUUACAUUUUUAUUUAUAUUUGUUAAUUUCAAAAGCA
This is an RNA transcript of Helianthus annuus (common sunflower), 4035 nucleotides long. RefSeq lists it as uncharacterized. NCBI's taxonomy places the organism in Eukaryota, Viridiplantae, Streptophyta, Magnoliopsida, Asterales, Asteraceae. The record is from RefSeq and is a predicted model, not a curated record. The transcript has 6 exons.